Theobroma cacao (cacao) is the source of this 1298-nucleotide non-coding RNA. NCBI's taxonomy places the organism in Eukaryota, Viridiplantae, Streptophyta, Magnoliopsida, Malvales, Malvaceae. The record is from RefSeq and is a predicted model, not a curated record.
UUUUCCUCUCUUACGUUGCCCUUACUGCUGUGUCUUUCUCGCUCUCUCAAAAGUCUCAAGUAAGCCACUUUUUUCCGUGGAAAUCUAAGAAACCCAUUUGCCUCUACUCAUUCAUUACUCAAAAUAUUCUUCUGGGUUUUAACUGACUCUUGGAAAUAAUUGGAUACUGAGUUUUUUGAGUGGUCGGAAAGUUAACUGGAAAGCGACGAUGGAUGUUGAUUCACAACCAACUAUGGAGGAAACUAUAUUGGUUGGCGAUGAUCUAAUGAUGGGGCUACCAUCUCCUGUCAUCCCACAAGAAAUUGCAUCUCAUGUGCUUCAAGGUGUCGAUUUAUGUGAUGGGAUUUUACGCAAUUUAUUCUUGUGUCUGCAGAUUAAUGAUAUUGAGCCAUUCUGUCAAGAUGAGCUUGCAUUAUAUCGACAAUGUGCUGAAAAGAGAGACAAGGAACUAAGGCAACGGCUUCAAGAUAGUGAGAGAAAGUUGGGGUUGUCAAUGCCUUUAGAUCAGGCAAAGGAAAGAACUGGUCAGCUUGAAUCGGAAGUCACGUCAUUAGAGAGCAUCUUGUAUGAAAAUCAAACUUAGAAGAACAAAGAAAAGGCAGGGACAGUACAGCUCAUUCCUAUAGAAAAAACCUUUAUGUCACUAGUCAGAACUUAAAAGAGCGCUUGAUUCUGGCAAGUGGAAUUGAAGGCAUCGAAGGAUUUCGUCAGAGAUGGAGCCUGCAUGGACGUCUUACAGAUACCAAGAGAAGGCUGGAGUCUUUAAAGCUGGGAAUGGAGAACAGAAAAGAGGAUGAACCAAGCAAAAGUCCUACUAGGAAAAGAUGGUUCUUUUGGUGAUAUUGGUGUCGCAUCUGUAUGGUGCUUCAAAUUAGCAUACAUCAGCAGCUUUUAACAAGAAGAUAGACCCAGUACUCAAGCUCUGGUAAUUAUGCCAUGAGGAUCGAUUCUUGAUUCUUGAUUCUCGACUUGCAACCCUGCUUCAAGGUUGCAGAUCAAGGUCAAACAUGUUGUAGUGCCUUAUGAGUCAAGAAAAUUGUGAUGGGGAUGAGUUUUUUUUGCCCAGGCUGCAAACUUCAUUGAACAUCUGAGGCUUAUCUCUAAACCAUGGGGACAGUUGUCUACGUUCUACCUUGGUCGUUCCACAAGAAAUGUCCCUAAUAGUCAGUGCUGAUUAGACAGAAAAACGCAAGACGUCAAUAUGGGAAUUGUUUUUUUCUUUUGGUUCACGUUAUGUUUUUUUGUUCAAUUAACGAGUAUGUUGAUACGCACACUGGGCGUAAAUCAGCAUUCAACUA